GGGGUGUGCUCAGAGCAGGGGGACUGAAGAAUGACUCCUCUGUUUACAACACACCUGAGACGAAUCUGGGGCCAUUGUGACGAGGGGCACAGCAGUGUGUCCUCCCUAUGAGCAAAUGCCCUACAUGU
This is a small nucleolar RNA of Nannospalax galili (Upper Galilee mountains blind mole rat), 128 nucleotides long. The record is from Ensembl. Lineage: Eukaryota; Metazoa; Chordata; Mammalia; Rodentia; Spalacidae.